CACUACCUGCCGGAUCGGUGGGUAGUGAUUGAUCUAUCGGGGAUUGAUUUAUCGUGUCGAUCCCCGAUGGCUCUGCUGUCGACUCCAGAACCCCACCAUGGCGAGAGGUGGAAGUGGAGUCGAUGGGGGAGCGGCAGCAGUUGAUCCCAUGCCAGGAGG
Molecule: non-coding RNA, 159 nt
Organism: Chelonoidis abingdonii (Abingdon island giant tortoise)
Lineage: Eukaryota; Metazoa; Chordata; Testudines; Testudinidae
Source: RefSeq, a predicted model, not a curated record